Molecule: long non-coding RNA, 916 nt
Organism: Hippocampus zosterae (dwarf seahorse)
Lineage: Eukaryota; Metazoa; Chordata; Actinopteri; Syngnathiformes; Syngnathidae
Exons: 4
Source: RefSeq, a predicted model, not a curated record
CCUGCUUAUUUCCAUAUGGACAGUCAGGUAGUGCGCUUCCAAAUAGUUUCGGUUGGGCUGAGGACGCGUUGUUGUCACGGUGGAUACUUCUCUAUCGUCUUUAAAGUGGGACUUUAACAAACGACGAGCUUCAUUUCACCUGGACACGUUCCCGGCUCUUGGACAGAUGCUGCAUGAUUAAAAAUUGGCUGAUGCUUGUUUGCUCCAAUGUAAGUUUGAGGGCCACCCCAGACCUCAAAGCUUCUUUCCUUUCUUCUGAGAGGGUUGCAGGUGAGCUGGAGGCUCUCCCACCUGACUUCAGGCACCAGCCGGGGUACACCCUAGACUGGUCACCUGUCAUUCACUGGGACACAUAGUCAAGCAACCUUUAAGAGAAGAAUGGAGGGAACCUACCGCCCCAGCGCAGAAGAAAGGAAACCGGCCGCAGCAGGUGGAUCCGAAAAGAACGGCCUGCCUUUCCCUUUGCCCAAAGAAGAACGCCUCAUAUGAUUUACUCCACAUUAUGUUGCAACUUCCCCACUGACCCCUUUAUCAACCGUGUGGAUGAAUACCCCCACGCACUUGUGGUGAUUAUCCAUUCUUGACACACCAGAUACAUUCUUGAUACAUUCUGACACACCAGACACUUUUUUCCCCUUUUGAUUCACUUAUUGGAUUAAAUAGGUCAUCAAAUAUGUCACCAGUUUGGCUCCAUGACAAAGAGAAAUUUGAACUGAACUUGGCUUUGUAUUUGAAUUGAGGUUUGUUCGUUUUUACUGCACUCUGCAUUGUUUAGUCUAUAUAAAUAUACAGAUAAAUUAUGUAUUAUGCAUGAAGGAUAGUGAUUGACACUGGCGAUAACUAUGAUGCACUUUUAUUCUGUUGAAUUUUGUACGUAAAAAUAAUGUGUACGUAAAUAAAGAAUAUGUGAACACUA